This 1372-nucleotide ribosomal RNA is filed under the name uncultured bacterium. RNAcentral describes it as "bacterial SSU rRNA". It matches the Rfam family "Bacterial small subunit ribosomal RNA", at positions 28 to 1381 of the family's 1533-position model. The record is from RNAcentral.
GAUGAACGCUGGCGGCGUGCCUAAUACAUGCAAGUCGAGCGAACGGACGAGAAGCUUGCUUCUCUGAUGUUAGCGGCGGACGGGUGAGUAACACGUGGAUAACCUACCUAUAAGACUGGGAUAACUUCGGGAAACCGGAGCUAAUACCGGAUAAUAUUUUGAACCGCAUGGUUCAAAAGUGAAAGACGGUCUUGCUGUCACUUAUAGAUGGAUCCGCGCUGCAUUAGCUAGUUGGUAAGGUAACGGCUUACCAAGGCAACGAUGCAUAGCCGACCUGAGAGGGUGAUCGGCCACACUGGAACUGAGACACGGUCCAGACUCCUACGGGAGGCAGCAGUAGGGAAUCUUCCGCAAUGGGCGAAAGCCUGACGGAGCAACGCCGCGUGAGUGAUGAAGGUCUUCGGAUCGUAAAACUCUGUUAUUAGGGAAGAACAUAUGUGUAAGUAACUGUGCACAUCUUGACGGUACCUAAUCAGAAAGCCACGGCUAACUACGUGCCAGCAGCCGCGGUAAUACGUAGGUGGCAAGCGUUAUCCGGAAUUAUUGGGCGUAAAGCGCGCGUAGGCGGUUUUUUAAGUCUGAUGUGAAAGCCCACGGCUCAACCGUGGAGGGUCAUUGGAAACUGGAAAACUUGAGUGCAGAAGAGGAAAGUGGAAUUCCAUGUGUAGCGGUGAAAUGCGCAGAGAUAUGGAGGAACACCAGUGGCGAAGGCGACUUUCUGGUCUGUAACUGACGCUGAUGUGCGAAAGCGUGGGGAUCAAACAGGAUUAGAUACCCUGGUAGUCCACGCCGUAAACGAUGAGUGCUAAGUGUUAGGGGGUUUCCGCCCCUUAGUGCUGCAGCUAACGCAUUAAGCACUCCGCCUGGGGAGUACGACCGCAAGGUUGAAACUCAAAGGAAUUGACGGGGACCCGCACAAGCGGUGGAGCAUGUGGUUUAAUUCGAAGCAACGCGAAGAACCUUACCAAAUCUUGACAUCCUUUGACAACUCUAGAGAUAGAGCUUUCCCCUUCGGGGGACAAAGUGACAGGUGGUGCAUGGUUGUCGUCAGCUCGUGUCGUGAGAUGUUGGGUUAAGUCCCGCAACGAGCGCAACCCUUAAGCUUAGUUGCCAUCAUUAGGUUGGGCACUCUAAGUUGACUGCCGGUGACAAACCGGAGGAAGGUGGGGAUGACGUCAAAUCAUCAUGCCCCUUAUGAUUUGGGCUACACACGUGCUACAAUGGACAAUACAAAGGGCAGCGAAACCGCGAGGUCAAGCAAAUCCCAUAAAGUUGUUCUCAGUUCGGAUUGUAGUCUGCAACUCGACUACAUGAAGCUGGAAUCGCUAGUAAUCGUAGAUCAGCAUGCUACGGUGAAUACGCUCCCGGGUCU